RNAcentral lists this ribosomal RNA (497 nucleotides) under uncultured bacterium. Its description in RNAcentral is "partial 16S ribosomal RNA". It matches the Rfam family "Bacterial small subunit ribosomal RNA", at positions 28 to 507 of the family's 1533-position model. The record is from RNAcentral.
GAUGAACGCUGGCGGCGUGCCUAAUACAUGCAAGUCGAGCGAACGGACGAGAAGCUUGCUUCUCUGAUGUUAGCGGCGGACGGGUGAGUAACACGUGGAUAACCUACCUAUAAGACUGGGAUAACUUCGGGAAACCGGAGCUAAUACCGGACGAUAUUUUGAACCGCAUGGUUCAAAAGUGAAAGACGGUCUUGCUGUCACUUAUAGAUGGAUCCGCGCUGCAUUAGCUAGUUGGUAAGGUAACGGCUUACCAAGGCAACGAUGCAUAGCCGACCUGAGAGGGUGAUCGGCCACACUGGAACUGAGACACGGUCCAGACUCCUACGGGAGGCAGCAGUAGGGAAUCUUCCGCAUUGGGCGAAAGCCUGACGGAGCAACGCCGCGUGAGUGAUGAAGGUCUUCGGAUCGUAAAACUCUGUUAUUAGGGAAGAACAUAUGUGUAAGUAACUGUGCACAUCUUGACGGUACCUAAUCAGAAAGCCACGGCUAACUACGUG